Molecule: long non-coding RNA, 1562 nt
Organism: Monodelphis domestica (gray short-tailed opossum)
Lineage: Eukaryota; Metazoa; Chordata; Mammalia; Didelphimorphia; Didelphidae
Source: Ensembl
GACUUACUUUGCUUUCUAUACUUAAUUUCAUUUUGCUCCCCCUCAUUCAUUCUACAUGCCAACCAAACUGACUUAUUUGCUAUUCCCUGAAUAUAGCAUUUUUUCUCUUGCCCAGGCCUUUUCACAGGUCACCGUCUCCUCAGCUCUACCUCUUUACCUUUUGGGUUUUUGUUUUUUAACUUUACUUUUACUUUGUUUCUUCCUUUUAUUUUUUUUUUGAGGCUCUUCUCAAGUUUCACCUCUUACGGGAAACCUUUCCUAGAUGACCGUUCCCUAGUUAUCUAAUAUCUCUAGUUACUAAAAUAGUUCUAUUCCCUAAUUAUUCCCUAGAUAACUGUUCCCUAGUUAUCUAAUAUUCCUAGUUUUUAAUAUAGUUCUAUUCCCUAGUUAUUCCCCAGUUACUGUGUUCUCCAACUACUAAAGUUAUAUUGCAUUUACUUAUAAGCAUAGGUUUGUGUCUCCCCAACAAGUGGAAUGGGGCGUCUAAGCGGGGGCCUGUGUUUAUCUGUUCAUUUCUCUAUAGCCCCGCCCCCUGACGCAAUGUCUCUGGGCAUAAUAGGUGAACAAUAAAUGCUUCGUUCAUUGAAUUCUCUUGGCCUUUUGGCAUCCUUUGCUUAGAAGGGGCAAGAUCUUUGACCUCAAAUAUUGAGGAGCUGUUGGGUAGACGGCUGCAUUGUACGACUCAGUCCCAGCAGGCAAGCGGAUGAAUGAACAAUCAGAAGUUAUACAGAAACAGACGACAGCUACAGGAGAGGUUCUAUAAUACUUCUCAUAUCUUUCCCUCCCUUUGGCUGCCGUCUAAUCUUUACAAAGAAGAAAACAAUCAAGAGCAAGGAAUGAGCUUGGCAUCAAUGAUCUAUUCUUGUUUGAUAAUAUUCAUUUCUACUCUUCCUGUCCAUCUUCACUAACCCUUGCCCAGAGCCCAUAGACUCUUAUUCUUCCUUUCUUUUCUUUUGAAUACCUCUUGCAAACCACCCUGGGGUUGGAGUGUAUAUUGCUUAGGACCAAUCCUUCCCUACAUAUACCCUCCCUCUUAUUCUCCCUUUCUCAAACUCUUUCCUUGUUCCAACCACUUAAGCACAAAUAAUUUCUGCACUUGUGUGCAUAUGGUUGACAUAUACGUGUAUAUAUACAACAUUGUGCUCCUAGUAGCUGCUAGCAUGCGGCAGCGGCCACACCCCGGGCAACGGCUUUGACAGGCUGGCUAAACCUUGUGAGGGUAGCCAUCCGGUCGUCGACCCCUGGUGAACCAGGGCUUUGCUCACCCAGCAUGUGAAGACUGUUUCGGUGGAACAGGUGGAAGAAACCAACAAGAAGGUUCAACGGCUGAGAUGGCGAUGCAGCAAGGCACUGUGGAGUGCUUAGGGCGUGUUGGAGCACAAAAGACAACACGGCCAUCCAAUGCAGCUGAGGAAGUCUCCAGGUGUAACGACUUUUCGUGCCAAUGGACCCAGGCUUCCAAUGCCGAGAGAGUGGGACUGUCUCUGUGCAUCGACUUUUCCACUUAAAUCUUCAUGCACAGGUGUCUUUGUGCACAAAAAUGCACAAAGACAAUCGUCAUC